Molecule: unclassified non-coding RNA, 401 nt
Filed under: soil metagenome
Description: partial contains 5.8S ribosomal RNA, internal transcribed spacer 2, and large subunit ribosomal RNA
Rfam family: 5.8S ribosomal RNA (bases 1-121)
Source: RNAcentral
GAUGAAGAACGUAGCGAAAUGCGAUAAGUAAUGUGAAUUGCAGAAUUCAGUGAAUCAUCGAAUCUUUGAACGCACCUUGCGCCCCUUGGUUAUUCCAAAGGGCAUGCCUGUUUGAGUAUCAUGAACACCUCAACUCUUGUGGUUUCCCACAAUGAGCUUGGACUGUGGAGGUUUUGUUGGCCCUGUGGUCAGCUCCUCUCAAAUGGAUCAGCUUACCGGUGUUUGGUGGCAUUACGGGUGUGAUAACUAUCUGCGCUCGUGGUCGUCUCCAAAUAACCUCCAGUGAUGGAGGUUCGCUGGAGCUUAUAAAUGUCUCUCCCCAGUGAAGACAGCCUUUGAACGUUCGAUCUCAAAUCAGGUAGGACUACCCGCUGAACUUAAGCAUAUCAAUAAGCGGAGGA